CCCCCCACUUUCUUAGAUGCCUCCCCAAAUUAAUCAAAGCCUCAAUCCUAUAAUAGAUUUUUCUAGCACCCUCUUAACUGAGACACCUCACUCUUCCCUUGGUGUGUGUUCUCCUUUGCUGCAAAGAAUGAUAAACCCGACUGGUUCAACCACAGGUAUGUUCCUAGUGGGUUUUGGCAGGAGGUUAUUGACACCAUUCUCCCCUCUCCAUUUCUAGUUGAAUCCUUUGCCUAAUCAUCUCCAUCCUAUAAUGCUGCAACAGCAAUGUCAUGCCUGUGAUCCCUGGUUCCAGUGUUCUUCUUCUCCAGUUCCUCUUUGCCGUGAGAUGGAUCCCUCUACCCCAACUCCAGCAGAUUGUAUCUGGAUCUCCGCGGAAGGGCAGCCACUCCCCAGCACUCCCUCCUCUGGACUCCCAAAGCCCAGCACUGGGCACUGAGAGGGAGAGGAAAGGAUGGUGAGAGAGAUACAAAUACAUUGAGAGUCUGCUGGCUAGAUGUUACCGCAUGACCUGAAAGCCACAAGACUGAAUCAAACUGGGCCCAUGAGUAACCAUUUGGAGGAAAGCCACCUUGGAGAGUCACCAACCAAGGACUUCUGCAUUGAACUUGGCAUAAGUGAGAAGCUUUUAUUUGUGUGCCUGGGUGCAGGGGAAACGCACCCACACUCUCGGGGGCGACCCCCACCAGCACGUGACCU
Molecule: long non-coding RNA, 696 nt
Organism: Choloepus didactylus (southern two-toed sloth)
Lineage: Eukaryota; Metazoa; Chordata; Mammalia; Pilosa; Megalonychidae
Exons: 4
Source: RefSeq, a predicted model, not a curated record